GGCCCCGCACAAGCGGUGGAGCAUGUGGUUUAAAUUCGAAGCAACGCGCAGAACCUUACCAAGCCUUGACAUCCUCGGAACUUUCCAGAAAUGGAUUGGUGCCUUCGGGAACCGAGUGACAGGUGCUGCAUGGCUGUCGUCAGCUCGUGUCGUGAGAUGUUGGGUUAAGUCCCGUAACGAGCGCAACCCCUAUCCUUAUUUGCCAGCACAUCAUGGUGGGAACUAUAAGGAGACUGCCGGUGAUAAACCGGAGGAAGGCGGGGACGACGUCAAGUCAUCAUGGCCCUUACGACCAGGGCUACACACGUGCUACAAUGGUAGGUACAGAGGGAGCGAAGUUGCGAAGCGGAGCGAAUCUCAGAAAGCCUAUCCCAGUUCGGAUUGGAGUCUGCAACUCGACUCCAUG
Molecule: ribosomal RNA, 406 nt
Filed under: uncultured bacterium
Lineage: Bacteria
Description: bacterial SSU rRNA
Rfam family: Bacterial small subunit ribosomal RNA
Source: RNAcentral